GUAAGUUCAUUCCGCCAGGUUUUCACCUGCGUGAAGUGAGAGGGCUGGAUAUGGAGCUCUCCAGAGAGCCCCCCUCCCAACUCCGGGAGAGGAGGCCACAGAGGCUGGGAGCCCUGGCUCUGGAGUCAGCUGCAGGCUCGGUUGUGUGACCUUGAGCAAGUCACUUGCCACCCUAUCUUAGCUGAAUGACCGAAUGGAUCCUCGUUGCUGCACUGGCUCCUCUUUAGUUGCGGUGCAGGGGCUUCUCAUUGUGAUGGAGCAGAGGCUCUAGGGCAUGCAGGCUUCAGUAAUUGUGGCCCACGGGCUCUAGAACACAGGCUCAGUCGUCGUGGCCCAGGGGCUUUGCUUCUCAGCAUGUGGGGUCUUCCCAGACCAGGGAUCAAACCCUUGUCUCCUGCAUUGGUGGGUGGAUUCUUAUCCACCCAGCCACCAGGGAAGCGCCGAUGCCAACUGUCUUGAAAGCAUUGAUCCUGGAUCCCAGACUGAAGCAGGUGAUGCUGAAACUCCUGAAGGAAUCGUGUCAUCUUGAGCUGCUCAAGUUUAUUUCCACUAAAAAUACACCCUGAAACUGGGGCACAAUGAAGGAUUUCUGACAAAUGGGGAAGAGGAAUAAAUAAAAACUCUGGGGCCUUCUGAUUCUUCACUGAGUCACCUCCAAAUACUCACCAGUGAGCUGAGCUUGGACUCUCUCCACUCGUCGCUGUCAUCAGUAAAAGCUCAGGCAGUCCGUGUGGUCUGGGAGCUUAAAAGUCUCGAAGCUUGUGAGUCAUUGUUAGGAGAGGCCCCUGAUGGAACUGAACCCUGCAUCUACCAGGGAGGAAACAGAAGAACUAGAGGGGAAGUGACUUGGUCCUGCACCAUUCGGAUGAGUGUGCUGGAGAGGGACUUAGAGCCUGCACCCGGCCUCCUCACUUCACCACCCCAACUCCCCAGUCUUCCCAAGCCCCCCGCCUGCACCCAGCACCUGUGUCUGCCGUUCCUGUGGCACAUCUUAAGGCAGCCUAGGCAUGCCAGGGGGCGGUCAAUGAGAGAAUCCUCAGUUAGCAAUAAAGAAUGCUUUCAGCUUCAGGUUACAGAAAACCAGAUCAAUGGCAGCUCAACUGUAAGGACAUUAGUGUUGACUCAUUGAGACUAGGGAGGGAGGUAGCCCCAGGCUGAGACCACUGACUCAGCCAUGUCAAGAAGGAUCCAAGUUCCCCACUCUGCCAUUCUGGGGAUUUUAACUCUUUACCCUCAAGCUUAUUGCCUCAUAUCACAAAAUGGUUGCCACGGCUCUGGAUAUCAAGUCCUUAUAAAUAGUAUGCAAAGCUAAAAGGAGUUACCUAAAAAAAAAAAAGUUUCCUUCUCUGCCUUCUCCUUGGGUAGCUCUCUCUCUUCUGUGCAUACGUAUGUGCCCAGUCAAAUCCAACUCUUUGUGACCCCAUGAACUAUAGCCCCCCAGGCUCCUCUAUCCAUGGGAUUUUUCAGGCAAGAAUACUGGAGUGGGUUGCCAUUCCUCUGCCAGGGGAUUUUCCCAACCCAGGGAUCAAAUUCAAGUCUCCUGCACUGGCAGGCAGAUUCUUUACC
Bos taurus (domestic cattle) is the source of this 1566-nucleotide long non-coding RNA. Lineage: Eukaryota; Metazoa; Chordata; Mammalia; Artiodactyla; Bovidae. The record is from Ensembl.